GACGAACGCUGGCGGCGUGCUUAACACAUGCAAGUCGAACGGAAAGGCCCUGCUUUUGUGGGGUGCUCGAGUGGCGAACGGGUGAGUAACACGUGAGUAACCUGCCCUUGACUUUGGGAUAACUUCAGGAAACUGGGGCUAAUACCGGAUAGGAGCUCCUGCUGCAUGGUGGGGGUUGGAAAGUUUCGGCGGUUGGGGAUGGACUCGCGGCUUAUCAGCUUGUUGGUGGGGUAGUGGCUUACCAAGGCUUCGACGGGUAGCCGGCCUGAGAGGGUGACCGGGCACAUUGGGACUGAGAUACGGCCCAGACUCCUACGGGAGGCAGCAGUGGGGAAUAUUGCACAAUGGGCGGAAGCCUGAUGCAGCAACGCCGCGUGCGGGAUGACGGCCUUCGGGUUGUAAACCGCUUUCGCCUGUGACGAAGCGUGAGUGACGGUAAUGGGUAAAGAAGCACCGGCUAACUACGUG
Molecule: ribosomal RNA, 468 nt
Filed under: uncultured bacterium
Lineage: Bacteria
Description: partial 16S ribosomal RNA
Rfam family: Bacterial small subunit ribosomal RNA
Source: RNAcentral